AGUCUAGUCUGUGACCUGAGCCAUCAUGGUAGGGUGUCCAGGGUGAGGGGAGGGUGGUGUGAAUCCCCAGUAAUGCAGGUCCUUUCCAGGCCAGGCCCCUGGUCCCCAGGAGUGCGGGGAUGCCUGAGGUCUACUGCUGCCUUAUCCAGAGCUGCCAUCCCCGGCGAUGACUCAGAGUUCCUGUGGCCCCAGCAUCAUCCCUCCAUCCCUGGCUGUGAGGCAGGAGCAGAGUUGCAGACCUGAGAGGCCUUGAAUUUGUUUGAUAUAGGACUUUGCCACCAGACAAAGUGCUUUGCCUGUGAGGUCUGGCUUGGCCUGGCCUCUGAGAAAGAACAAACACAGACCUCACUGGAAGGAACCUGGAGAACGGGAGAGGAGAGGCUGCUGCUGUCUGCCCUCCCAGCAGCAGAUAUAAAGACAAUGGGCUUCUAAGUCCCCUAGAGUCCCAGCUGUGUAAUUUAAGGCGAGUUCAUCUCUCACAGCCUCAGUUUCCUCAUUUGCUGGCACCUGUCUUUCUCCUUCAUAGCCAUUGUCACUGUUGCAAUGAUAUCAACAAUGCUUACAUUUCAGAUAGAUCCCCAGCUGGGUUGAAAGGAACGUCAAGACCCUUCCUUUCUUAUGACCUAUGUAUCAACUCCCUUCUACCUUGCCUCCCUCCACUUGGAGCGAGUUCUAGUUGGUGAAAUGUAGCCAGAGGUUCCUGGAAAGGCUUUCCUUCUCAAGUAAAGCCUGGCUCAGAGAAAACCACUGGUCUCUUUCCUUUUCUUCCUCCUGACAUGAACAUGGGGCAGGAAGGAGCAUGGAGAAGACAAGAACAAGGCUCUCAGAAGGAAAUGGUGUGGCUGGAGCCAUGAGAACUGGUUGUGGAGGGGGCAAAUAUAAUUUCUGACCUACGUAAUGAUGUAUGCACAAGAAGCCUCUCUUGAAUGUAUUAAUUCAGUAAACAGUUAUGGAGUCCUUACAAUGUGCUAGUGGGACUUUGAAGAUGAAUCCAAAUUUGGAUCCUGGCCUGGAAAGGCUCAAAGCCCAAUAUGGGAGGUAAGAAAUGUAGAAUCCAUAUAACGAUGGGGUCUCCCCGCCCCUUAAGAUCUAGUUAUGAGUAGCUGCAAUUCCUGUGAAUUCCAAGGUAGUUUCACCACCUCAAGUUCACCUUUAGAUCUGACUUCUGGCUUCUUUUAGGAAGUUCCCAUCUCUAAAUCUCAUCUCUGUUCCUUUAUUUCUGCCAGCCUGGAUACAAAUGUGAAACUUAUCUUCUUUUAUUAACCAAUCAAUCACCUCCUGCCAAAACAACAUCAGCAAAAACAACAGAAAAAAACAAAAACAAAAACAAAAACAAAUCUGUGUACACAAGACCUUUGUUUCCACAGCAGACUUGGCUAAAGGUUUGGGCAUGCAUAUGCAUACCCCCAAAAUUAAAAAUGGAAAAUUGAA
Molecule: long non-coding RNA, 1431 nt
Filed under: Homo sapiens (human)
Lineage: Eukaryota; Metazoa; Chordata; Mammalia; Primates; Hominidae
Description: long intergenic non-protein coding RNA 1227
Source: RNAcentral